Molecule: long non-coding RNA, 240 nt
Filed under: Carica papaya (papaya)
Lineage: Eukaryota; Viridiplantae; Streptophyta; Magnoliopsida; Brassicales; Caricaceae
Description: long non-coding RNA (CPAP_LNC012005)
Source: RNAcentral
ACGCAAGAACAGAUCUUAGUUGUUCGAUCGCGUGCAUGCGGAUCGCCCACACGGCUCCCCCCGCGUUUCCUCCCGUGUCAGCGCCUCCGCCACCUGGCGCGUCCUGGUUGGUCGGGGCUACUGACUGGGCAGCUGGCAUGGCGUAACUUUUUAAAAAUCGUUUUGACCUCCAUUUUUUGAUUUUUCUUUCAAAAAUACCUCCAGAACCCAAAUUUUCACUAUUUUUCUCCAAAAUUGUUU